CCCUGCUGUAGCUACACCAAACACCAAGAGCUCAGGAGACACAAAACACCCCCUUCUUUCUCUCUGUAUGAAGAAACGUUUAGGAACAACCAGAAAUGAUCAUGGAGCAUCUUUCAGUUGGUUUGUCGCUCUUGAAGGUGAGGAGCCAAGAAUAAUCAUUUAAAAAAAUAAAUAAAUAUAUCUAUAUAAAUAAAGCAAACAUCACAUUCUUUAUUUACUCGUAUAUACUUUAUUUUCCUAUAAAAUAGAAGUAUGCGUGUAUAACUUUUCGUCCGUAUAGUGGCGCCCCCUUUUGGCUUCAUGUGGUAAUGCGCAGGCCUGCAGAUUUUUUUUUAUACAUGCGAUUAAUCCACACUUAUGGUCAAUUAUAGUGUUGAAAUCUCUAUUAGGCUUGUUUUCUUUAUAUAAAUUAGUGUAGUUAGCGUGAGACACCAGUAACGCAGGAUAAGA
Long non-coding RNA from Silurus meridionalis, 450 nucleotides. RefSeq lists it as uncharacterized. Lineage: Eukaryota; Metazoa; Chordata; Actinopteri; Siluriformes; Siluridae. The transcript has 2 exons. The record is from RefSeq and is a predicted model, not a curated record.